GGUGUGCAGCCAACUCUGUAUCCUGCUCCUGCCUUGGUUGUGGGUGGGGAAAGGCGGUUGGAGUGGCUCCUUAGAAAACAGAAUUACAGUAAAACGUGGGAGGUUCCUACAAGUCACCUGUGAGCUGCUUCCUCCCAUUCCUGGACCUGGGUUGCCUGGGAGGAACUUUAAAUUGCCACCCAGCUCAGCCCUGGCCACUGGCUCCGGCAGCAUGACGGCAAGAGGCAUCUUCCUGCUGGGGCUCCUCGCCCUGUGGGCAGAGCUGCAGGCAGCACCCACCGCAGGGCUCCCCGGAGCAGUCUCUGCCAGGCAGCCACAGCCAGGACAGCCUGGAAGUGCUUUGCCAGGGAAAUGCCCUUGGCCUGGCAAAGAGCCCAACGCAGUGCCCGAUCCACAGCCCGGCAGGAUCACCCUGGAUGGGAAGGAGGAGCCGGGUACGGAGCGGGUGGGUAAGAACCGGUGCCCACCCGGGGCUGAGCCGGUGGCUGCUGUGACACCCACGCUGGGGAAGAAGCCGGUGACCGGGGGAGAGCCUGCGGCAGGGAACAAGCCCAUGCUGGCUGGGAAAUUGGACACUGGGAAGAAACCUAUUUCAGGGAAAAAGCCAGCAUGCGGGGGGAAGACUGAGACUAGGGAAAAGCCAGAGGUCGUAGCAAAGCCGGAGAUCACAGCAAAACCAGGAGGGAAGCCAGACACCGGGGGGAAGCCGGAGACCGGGGUGAAGCCAGAGACUGCAGGAAAGCCAGAAACUGGUGGAAAACCAGUAGCUGGGGAUAAGCUGGAGACUGGAGAGAAGCCGGAGACUGCGGGGAAGCCAGAGACUGGUGGGAAACCAGUGGCUGGGGAGAAGCCGGCACCUGCAGAGAAGCCAGAAGCUGGGGAGAAACCUGUGCUGGGGGAAAAGCCGGAGUCAGAGGGAAAGCCAGAGAGUGAGGGGAAGCCUGAGGCAGGAGAGAAGCCUGAGUCUGACCAAGGUGACAGUGGGGAGGAUGAUGACAGUGAUGAUGAUGACGACGAUGAUGAUGACAAUGAUGAGAAAAAUGAGCAUGGCGAUGGCGACGAUAACGGCGACAAUGAUGACGGUGACGAUGAUGACGGCGAUGAUGAUGGCGGCGACGAUGAUGGUGACGAUGAUGGUGACAACGAUGGUGAUGGUGGUGACAAUGAUGGUGACAACGAUGGUGAUGGCGGCGACAAUGAUGGUGACGACGAUGAUGAUGACAAUGGUGACAACGAUGAUGACGGUGAUGACAAUGACAACUAUGAUGACUACAGAUAUGAUGAUUAUGGUGACAAUGACGAUGAUGGUUAUGAUGAUGGCGGUGGUGAUGGUUAUAACUCUUAGUGACCAAUGCCACAGGGUGUGUGAAGAGUGUGUGGGACAAGAAGAGCCUGUGGCAGGUGGGUACAGGGCUGGUUGCCCCCAGCCUCCUCCUCUGCCUCACUCUGCCAGGGCCCGUCCCAGACACCAAUGGCAUUUUGGGCAGGACCUUCUCUUUCCUAAUAAACCCCACAUU
This 1517-nucleotide long non-coding RNA is filed under the name Calidris pygmaea (Spoon-billed sandpiper). RNAcentral's name for it is "lncRNA (ENSCPGG00000002767.1)". The record is from RNAcentral. Lineage: Eukaryota; Metazoa; Chordata; Aves; Charadriiformes; Scolopacidae.